Molecule: ribosomal RNA, 356 nt
Filed under: uncultured bacterium
Lineage: Bacteria
Description: bacterial SSU rRNA
Rfam family: Bacterial small subunit ribosomal RNA
Source: RNAcentral
UACAGGAAGAAACGUACCCUCGUGAGGGUGCCUGACGGUACUGUAGGAAUAAGCACCGGCUAACUCCGUGCCAGCAGCCGCGGUAAUACGGAGGGUGCGAGCGUUAUCCGGAUUUAUUGGGUUUAAAGGGUCCGUAGGCGGAUUAAUAAGUCAGUGGUGAAAUCCCAUCGCUUAACGAUGGAACUGCCAUUGAUACUGUUAGUCUUGAAUGAGGGUGCAGUGGUUGGAAUGUGUAGUGUAGCGGUGAAAUGCAUAGAUAUUACACAGAACACCGAUUGCGAAGGCAGAUCACUAACCCUAAAUUGGCGCUGAGGGACGAAAGCGUGGGGAGCGAACAGGAUUAGAUACCCUGGUAG